RNAcentral lists this ribosomal RNA (269 nucleotides) under uncultured Prevotella sp. RNAcentral's name for it is "partial 16S ribosomal RNA". It matches the Rfam family "Bacterial small subunit ribosomal RNA", at positions 87 to 355 of the family's 1533-position model. Lineage: Bacteria; Pseudomonadati; Bacteroidota; Bacteroidia; Bacteroidales; Prevotellaceae. The record is from RNAcentral.
GAUGACGACUGGCGCACGGGUGAGUAACGCGUAUCCAACCUUCCCAUAACUACGGGAUAACCCGUUGAAAGACGGCCUAAUACCGUAUGAUAUCGUUUGCUGACAUCAAAUAACGAUUAAAGGUUUAGCGGUUAUGGAUGGGGAUGCGUCUGAUUAGCUUGUUGGCGGGGUAACGGCCCACCAAGGCAACGAUCGGUAGGGGUUCUGAGAGGAAGGUCCCCCACAUUGGAACUGAGACACGGUCCAAACUCCUACGGGAGGCAGCAGUC